RNAcentral lists this small RNA (128 nucleotides) under Marmota monax (woodchuck). The record is from RNAcentral. Lineage: Eukaryota; Metazoa; Chordata; Mammalia; Rodentia; Sciuridae.
GCUAGGCACAGUGGCACAUGCCUGUAAUCCCAGUGGCUUGGGAGGCUGAAGCAGGAGGAUCGCAAGUUCAAAGCCAGCCUCAGCAAAUUAGUUAGGACCCUAAGCAAUUCAGUGAUACCUUGUUUCUA